UUCAUUUUAAAAACUGCUAGAGUUGAGUUAGGCUGUAUUUACACUCAACCUACAGCUGUGUUCAGAAGUGAUCUGAUCUGAAGAUUUAUUUACAGCCGUAUAGAUUUAUAUUAAUGGGAAAAUUUGUGGAGCUUUGUCCUACUAAAGCUCUAUGUCGUCGUUCGGUUAUCGUUUAAUUAUAUUACAGGUAGAGCUAUUAGUUUUAGUUAAUAUUGUCACACGUUUAAUAAAAUGAUAGUAACAUAGAUAGAUAACGAAAUAACUCGUUGGAUGAUAAUAAAAUACCAAAUUGACGUGUAGGAGAACACUAGGUUGGCUUGGUCUAUCUUUUGUACUCGAAACAAUUGGAAUACCGAAGGUUUAUUGUGUCCAACCUGGAAGGGUAUUGUAAUAUAUCUUUAUUGGAAUUGCGACAUUAACAAUCAGAUAAAGUAUGGCAAGCGCACUCCGAAACAGAUGGGUCUAUACACUUAGGAAGGGAGAUCUAAUCUCACCGAAUUUCAGCUGGGUUCCAGUAGAAAAGUUGCGGCCGCCGGAGUUUCAAAUCCUGGGAUACCCACACCUACGUGUAAUGAAAUUAAAAUACAAGGACAAUCAUUCGACGAGAUCGUCGGACAAUUUGCCAAUAUGACGGCGAGUUUGCAAAGAGGGAAAUCUGAAAGGCUAUCAUCAGCCGAUAUUACUGCCGCUGAAUUAGUUUCAUAAACAAAACUACAGUUAAAUAGCCGAUUAAUGCAACUAUAUACAUGCCAUGGGGCCCUAAUUAUUGAAUAUGGCUUCUGAGGACAAUACGGGACGUUGGGUCCCUUACAGUUUAUUGAACCGAAACAUUUUACCUAGCGUAGUGGUCAUUGUAACAUGUGAUUUUAACUUAGAAAUUUUAGUUUGCUAAGAAUACAAAUCUGCGUGACCAAAAUUAUAAAGUUCACGCACGCAGAGAAAUUCUUUUGACAUAGCUUUGAUUUUUCUGCUAUGUAAUGUUUUCCGGUAGGAGAAAUGAGAGAGUAGAAGAGGCGAAAAAAGAAAGAGGAAGAGUAAGAACUUUGGUUAAAGAGGUUCUAACGUCUCAAUCGAAAAGAAGAAUAAGAAAAAAAAUUCAUAUAUAAUUCAUAUUUCGGAGGUACAAUGAAUAAUAUAUCCAGAAAAAGAAAAAAAACUCUGAAAGCAGCACAGCAUUAAUAGACGGAGAACCAAUUAUGAAGUAUUUAAAAUGUAAGGUAAAUUAAGGUCCAGAAUAUGGUGGCUCUAAAGAAAGAAAAAGAAAAAUAGCGGACGUUUUUGCGAAAAGAAAAAAAAGAAAAGACCGAACAAAGAUAAAGUAUAUGUAAAGUAUAUACAAAGUAAAUUACGUACAAAAAGGUAAAUAUAUAUAUGUGAACAUCUCGACGUAGUGGAGAAACAGAUCCGCAACUCCAGAAUAACAACAGCUAAUAAAUGAGCUGUACACGUUAAGCGGGUGUAAAAGUUUCCCAAAAAACGAAAUAUAGUUCCUUCUUGCGUACUGUGAGCAGCCAAAGUCGUCUCUUCUUUUGCCCUCACAGGUUCUUCGUCUCUAAGGGUGGUGUGCUAGGCUAAGUUAGGUUAAGAGCAGGAUUAAGUAAACUACUAGACAGGCGACAGGUAGAUAAGGGAACCCCAGUCAGAAACAGACGUUUCUGGUUGAGAUAAAGUAAGGUUGCCAAAAGCCAACCUUGACAGGAGCCGUAAAAGAGCUGGCUCCAAAUAGUCCGUGUCGAGGGACACACUGGUCCGGCCGAGUAGGGAAGUUAGAAUGAGGGUAGACACACGACGGCAACAGAUUAACUGAACAAAAUAUCAAAAACGUAUUAUUAAACAAGAAGAGGGAGAACGCUCUGAAUGGACGAACUAUUGUGUUGUAAGCAAAGUAAAAAAAAUGAAUAAACAAAGUGAAAACUUCCGAAAGUCAAACUAUUCUUUAACCAUUCAAAGAAAACAUAAAAUUCAUGUGAGUCAAAGACUUGUGCCGCUGAGCUUACCCCAGCAUCAGGAAAUGGACUAAAGCCCUCACAGUACAUACACAGAUAAAUUCCAUGGUACUUUCAAACGCGUUCAUAAGUAACAGCGUCGUCAAAUUAUAUGCAAUAAAUUCGGCGAAUAGGCAAGGCGAGUAUAGAAAAACCCAGGUGCACAAGGGACGCCUGUUCAGUAGGUUAGAUUGCGUCCGUCCGUGUGUUUGUUAAAAACUAUGCACGUGCUGUUAUAUGUCGUGAAAUAUUUAAGGACCUUGUUGGCGCUUCUGGCUCUAAUGGGCCAUAUGUGGUGUACAGAGCCACAAAAAUGAAAACGGAUCUGCAGUAACAUCUUCCUUCAUGUCUUCGUACGUAUUAUUUAUAUAUAUAAAGGUAUUAUGUGUACAUAUAUAUUAUGAGGAACCAAAGUCGUAACUCGUUUUGGCCUCACAGGUUCUUCGUCUCUGAGGGGGAGUGCUAGAGUAAGUUAAGCUAAGAACUUAAGCAAAGAGAAAUUAGAGUGAAGAGAAAUCAUAAGAAGUUGAGAAUAAUUAGUUUAAGACAAAUUUUAGUCAGUGCUAAAAUAAGUUAGAGAAAGUGAGUUGGUCGCGGGGUGAGUUAAAGAGCGGACGAUUUGGCCUCAUUGAUGCGGUUACAAGGAAGUCGGUGCUAUGUCUUGAGAUUAAGAAAAGUGAACCGAUAUUUUAAGUAGAGAAAAGGAAAAAUUGUAAAUGUCGAGGAAGAAAUACUGAAACAUAUUUUAAAGAAAUAUAAAAAUUCUUAUAUAAAUUCUAAUUGAGAAAAACCAAGUUUUUAUCAAAAGCAAAAGAAAGCUGCAAGAAUUUUAUGUUUCUGCAGCGAUGAUCAACAGGAGACAGAUACGUAGAAAACGCAAGGUAAACGAAGAAAUUUCCCCUAGUUUCCCGAAUUGGCUGACAGCUUGAAGAGCGUGUCGAUGCCGAAUCAGCGGUAGUCGCUAGGCAACAACCCCGGAACCAAAUACGAACGCCCCAACACGAGCGACAUAGAAUGCUAUGGGUAACUAGCGACAGCGGCAGAUCAGAUCCACUUGAUAUGCCUGACUUGUUCUAUCCAAAUUAUAUCCGCUGGAGCAUCACGACCGAGCACAUAACUAGAAAAUCUAUUGUUAUUCCGUCCAACUCGUAAUUGUUAGCUCCGUCGUAGUAUUCAUUGCUAUGAUUAUCCUCAUCCGGUGACAUCUGCACAUCUUCCCAUAAUAUGUCGUCCUCACUGCCAAACUCUUCGAUGUGCCGCAUGUGAGCAAGAGGGUCGUUUGACGCAUAAGGUCACCUGCAGUGUAUGUAUGAUUAUCUUCGCCUAACCAUUUACGAUUUCCUUCAUCGGCAUAUUGACAGAAACGUUUAAAGAGUGAAGUGGACGCAACCUGGACUAAUGACAAGAUCCAAGUUUAUUUGCUGCAUUCUGUAUGAAAGGCAUCCAAUGACACUGAAACGAAUCGAACACCGACAUGAAGAGCGGCUUUCGUGCACCACUUAGGGGAUGGCCCCAAAUGUAUUACGACCAA
Molecule: long non-coding RNA, 3516 nt
Organism: Glossina fuscipes
Lineage: Eukaryota; Metazoa; Arthropoda; Insecta; Diptera; Glossinidae
Exons: 3
Source: RefSeq, a predicted model, not a curated record